Molecule: ribosomal RNA, 497 nt
Filed under: uncultured bacterium
Lineage: Bacteria
Description: partial 16S ribosomal RNA
Rfam family: Bacterial small subunit ribosomal RNA
Source: RNAcentral
GAUGAACGCUGGCGGCGUGCCUAAUACAUGCAAGUCGAGCGAACAGACGAGGAGCUUGCUCCUCUGACGUUAGCGGCGGACGGGUGAGUAACACGUGGAUAACCUACCUAUAAGACUGGGAUAACUUCGGGAAACCGGAGCUAAUACCGGAUAAUAUAUUGAACCGCAUGGUUCAAUAGUGAAAGACGGUUUUGCUGUCACUUAUAGAUGGAUCCGCGCCGCAUUAGCUAGUUGGUAAGGUAACGGCUUACCAAGGCAACGAUGCGUAGCCGACCUGAGAGGGGGAUCGGCCACACUGGAACUGAGACACGGUCCAGACUCCUACGGGAGACAGCAGUAGGGAAUCUUCCGCAAUGGGCGAAAGCUUGACGGAGCAACGCCGCGUGAGUGAUGAAGGUCUUCGGAUCGUAAAACUCUGUUAUUAGGGAAGAACAAAUGUGUAAGUAACUAUGCACGUCUUGACGGUACCUAAUCAGAAAGCCACGGCUAACUACGUG